Molecule: long non-coding RNA, 346 nt
Organism: Papilio xuthus (Asian swallowtail)
Lineage: Eukaryota; Metazoa; Arthropoda; Insecta; Lepidoptera; Papilionidae
Exons: 3
Source: RefSeq, a predicted model, not a curated record
CCUUGUGGAUAAUAGCUGGGGACGGGGCGCUCUCCGUUAUGGGCUUUUAGUACUAUCUUUGGAGCCGCCGAUUGCGAAUUAGAGCGGCAUUUGCUAGCAGCUUGUCUUUCCGCAUGGCCGAGUUUGUUCAGGAUAAUCUCCGGAACGACUAGACUGAUCUUGACGGGACUUGGACGGAGUCGAGGGCGACCGCUAGCCGCGUUUGUUUGGUGUAGUCUCUGAAAUGGCUUUACUGAUCUUGAACGGAAGGUGGCUGAUGCUCGCAGCUAUGUUUUUUCUAAUUCUGUGGUGACAAAGUCGCGGAAGACCGGUCGUUGAAAAUAAAAUAAUGGAUAUAUAUUCAAGC